GGGGAAUAUUGCACAAUGGGGGAAACCCUGAUGCAGCGACGCCGCGUGGAGGAAGAAGGUCUUCGGAUUGUAAACUCCUGUUGUUGGGGAAGAUAAUGACGGUACCCAACAAGGAAGUGACGGCUAACUACGUGCCAGCAGCCGCGGUAAAACGUAGGUCACAAGCGUUGUCCGGAAUUACUGGGUGUAAAGGGAGCGCAGGCGGGAAGACAAGUUGGAAGUGAAAUCUAUGGGCUCAACCCAUAAACUGCUUUCAAAACUGUUUUUCUUGAGUAGUGCAGAGGUAGGCGGAAUUCCCGGUGUAGCGGUGGAAUGCGUAGAUAUCGGGAGGAACACCAGUAGCGAAGGCGGCCUACUGGGCACCAACUGACGCUGAGGCUCGAAAGUGUGGGUAGCAAACAGGAUUAGAUACCCUGGUAGUCCACACCGUAAACGAUGAUUACUAGGUGUUGGAGGAUUGACCCCUUCAGUGCCGCAGUUAACACAAUAAGUAAUCCACCUGGGGAGUACGACCGCAAGGUUGAAACUCAAAGGAAUUGACGGGGGCCCGCACAAGCAGUGGAGUAUGUGGUUUAAUUCGACGCAACGCGAAGAACCUUACCAAGUCUUGACAUCCCUUGACAGGCAUAGAAAUAUGUUUUCUCUUCGGAGCAAGGAGACAGGUGGUGCAUGGUUGUCGUCAGCUCGUGUCGUGAGAUGUUGGGUUAAGUCCCGCAACGAGCGCAACCCUUAUGGUCAGUUACUACGCAAGAGGACUCUGGCCAGACUGCCGUUGACAAAACGGAGGAAGGUGGGGAUGACGUCAAAUCAUCAUGCCCUUUAUGACUUGGGCUACACACGUACUACAAUGGCGUUAAACAAAGAGAAGCAAGACCGCGAGGUGGAGCAAAACUCAGAAACAACGUCCCAGUUCGGACUGCAGGCUGCAACUCGCCUGCACGAAGUCGGAAUUGCUAGUAAUCGUGGAUCAGCAUGCCACGGUGAAUACGUUCCCG
This 995-nucleotide ribosomal RNA is filed under the name uncultured bacterium. RNAcentral's name for it is "bacterial SSU rRNA". It matches the Rfam family "Bacterial small subunit ribosomal RNA", at positions 356 to 1376 of the family's 1533-position model. The record is from RNAcentral.